CACAGAGGUCUCAAGCGUUGUUCGGAUUCAUUGGGCGUAAAGGGUGCGUAGGUGGUUAGGUAAGUCGGAUGUGAAAUCCCGGGGCUCAACCUCGGAACUGCAUUCGAUACUGCUUGACUAGAGUACUGGAGAGGAGAUUGGAAUUUACGGUGUAGCAGUGAAAUGCGUAGAUAUCGUAAGGAAGACCAGCGGCGAAGGCGGAUCUCUGGACAGUUACUGACACUGAGGCACGAAGGCCAGGGGAGCAAACGGG
This 253-nucleotide ribosomal RNA is filed under the name uncultured bacterium. Its description in RNAcentral is "partial 16S ribosomal RNA". It matches the Rfam family "Bacterial small subunit ribosomal RNA", at positions 524 to 776 of the family's 1533-position model. The record is from RNAcentral.